CCAGACUCCUACGGGAGGCAGCAGUGAGGAAUAUUGGUCAAUGGGCGCGAGCCUGAACCAGCCAAGUCGCGUGAGGGAGGACGGCCCUACGGGUUGUAAACCUCUUUUGCCGGGGAGCAACGGGCGUCACGUGUGGCGCCACUGAGAGUACCCGGAGAAAAAGCAUCGGCUAACUCCGUGCCAGCAGCCGCGGUAAUACGGAGGAUGCGAGCGUUAUCCGGAUUUAUUGGGUUUAAAGGGUGCGCAGGCGGAAUGUCAAGUCAGCGGUAAAAUUUCGGGGCUCAACCCCGUCGUGCCGUUGAAACUGGCGUUCUUGAGUGAGCGAGAAGUAUGCGGAAUGCGUGGUGUAGCGGUGAAAUGCAUAGAUAUCACGAAGAACCCCGAUUGCGAAGGCAGCCUGCCGCAGCGUUACUGACGCUGAAGCUCGAAAGCGCGGGUAUCGAACAGGAUUAGAUACCCGCGUAU
Molecule: ribosomal RNA, 465 nt
Filed under: uncultured bacterium
Lineage: Bacteria
Description: bacterial SSU rRNA
Rfam family: Bacterial small subunit ribosomal RNA
Source: RNAcentral